AUGAACGCUGGCGGCGUGCCUCAUACAUGCAAGUCGAGCGAACAGACGAGGAGCUUGCUCCUCUGACGUUAGCGGCGGACGGGUGAGUAACACGUGGAUAACCUACCUAUAAGACUGGGAUAACUUCGGGAAACCGGAGCUAAUACCGGAUAAUAUAUUGAACCGCAUGGUUCAGUAGUGAAAGACGGUUUUGCUGUCACUUAUAGAUGGAUCCGCGCCGCAUUAGCUAGUUGGUAAGGUAACGGCUUACCAAGGCAACGAUGCGUAGCCGACCUGAGAGGGUGAUCGGCCACACUGGAACUGAGACACGGUCCAGACUCCUACGGGAGGCAGCAGUAGGGAAUCUUCCGCAAUGGGCGAAAGCCUGACGGAGCAACGCCGCGUGAGUGAUGAAGGUCUUCGGAUCGUAAAACUCUGUUAUUAGGGAAGAACAAAUGUGUAAGUAACUAUGCACGUCUUGACGGUACCUAAUCAGAAAGCCACGGCUAACUACGUG
This 496-nucleotide ribosomal RNA is filed under the name uncultured bacterium. Its description in RNAcentral is "partial 16S ribosomal RNA". It matches the Rfam family "Bacterial small subunit ribosomal RNA", at positions 29 to 507 of the family's 1533-position model. The record is from RNAcentral.